UUAAAACAACAAAAUCCAAAAUUUCAUUUAGGGUCCAGAUAUAUCUAGAUUUUUAACCGUGACUGAUUCUAAAUAAUUUCCCUAUCCUAGUCUGCCGAUGUUUUAUAGAUUUCUAUACAGUAGAGUCCCUUUAUAGAAAACCGGGCCUUUCCUAUAUCAAGGAAUUAAGGCCAACGCUCUUUUUUUACCUUUCAUGUUUGUUCGUCUUCCUGGCCUUCGUUUGAGAUUAUGUUACAGUUGUUUACAACCAGGACCUGCUUACAACAAACAGGCAGCCGAAGUCUGUCGAAAUAAAAGCAAAACAAACAAAAAGGCCAAAACGGGAACGUUAAGAUCAUGUUCGUCACGUCUCGCUGAAUUGACAACCAAGGCAUUUCCUCGAAUGCCAUCCAUGGGGAAAGGCCCAAGUUCCUAUCAGCAAGAGCAGAGAAGAGCAAUUCAGAUUUCGUGAAAACCAGACCAAGAAAAACCCAGUGACUUGAUAGCAUCAUCAUUCCGCGAAUAACCACGGGGUUAGGAUUCACGUCACCUCUUUAUAAGCAAAUGUUGAGGGUAUUCGGGCACACAAUCCGUUGGUCGUCGAAGAAGUCGGUCUCCUCGACCCACACAUACAGACGUGUCUUGAUCGCCGUCCUCCAAUAUUGUGGUAGUUGUCAAACAGUGUGACUGUCCGUCUCCUUUGCACUGUGACUGCUAUUUCGCUUGCUCAGUCGUCUUGACCACAUAUUUGCAUCUAUAUAACUACUGCAGUCGUUUGCAUCAUGGUGAUUUUCCAAUAUAGCCCUGAGGAGACGAGAGAGAGGUCUCCCCGGGGGGUCCAGGGCAGAAAUGAAACUAGUGAAUAUCCUGGCGGAAGCCAUCCCAGAGUUUACGACGACUGGCAAGGGAAUUUCAGACAAAGAGGGCGUUCCGGCAAUGCUUCCAGAGCACUUCAAAGCACCGAGAGGACCAACAGUACAUCCAGAGGCGUCGUUCGCUCUGAACUAGUACUAACUGACGAGCACCAAUCUGGCUUGGAUGGUUACGGCAGGCUCGUAGGUUCAUCUGGCGAACCCAGCGGUCACAAUCAUUUCUCAAAUACUAUGGAGAGUUCACACUUUACAACAGGCUCUAAUAACUCGUACAAUCAAUUAGAUUCUGGGUCUUACUUUCACGUAGACAGUGGCCUCGAGAAUUACGGAAAAUAUCUGGGGUCGUCUCCAGAACCUGGUUAUGGUAGGGACUCUAAUCCGGCUGAAUCAUUAAGGAAUCAUGAAAACGCGAGCAGUAGCGGGUAUGAACUAAACGGCGGGUCUCUUUCAGACUUUGCGGGUUUGGGAAGUUAUAGUCAACCUUCCUUCGAGUCAAGCAAUUUUGGCUUCUCAACAGAACAAAACAUGGAGGACGUUGAAUUCACAAACUACGGAGGUUAUGGUGGUGGGCUGUUUUAAAAAGAUUAACUUUUAACAAUAUGUGAAUGCUAUAAGGUUUCGUGAAAAGAACGAUAUUCAAUAUAUAUAUAUUUUUUUACAUGUACUUUGUAGGAAAGUGGGUACAGAGGUCACUGUUGUGGAGGCUGAUAUGAAAUGCUGAUUGAUGAAGAUAACUCCUCCAUCCUCUCUUGUUAUCAAGUUUUAAUUUUAUACCUUACUUAUCACAUCUCAGAUAUAGCUCAUAAGUAACGUGACAUUUA
Long non-coding RNA from Macrobrachium nipponense, 1672 nucleotides. RefSeq lists it as uncharacterized. The transcript is spliced from 2 exons. NCBI's taxonomy places the organism in Eukaryota, Metazoa, Arthropoda, Malacostraca, Decapoda, Palaemonidae. The record is from RefSeq and is a predicted model, not a curated record.